UACGUAGGGGGCUAGCGUUGUCCGGAUUCAUUGGGCGUAAAGGGUGCGUAGGCGGCCAGCACAAGUCAGUUGUGAAAUCUCCGAGCUUAACUCGGAAAGGUCAACUGAUACUGUGCGGCUAGAGUGCGGAAGGGGCAACUGGAAUUCUUGGUGUAGCGGUGAAAUGCGUAGAUAUCAAGAGGAACACCUGCGGCGAAGGCGGGUUGCUGGGCCGACACUGACGCUGAGGCGCGAAAGCCAGGGGGAGCGAACGGG
Molecule: ribosomal RNA, 255 nt
Filed under: uncultured bacterium
Lineage: Bacteria
Description: partial 16S ribosomal RNA
Rfam family: Bacterial small subunit ribosomal RNA
Source: RNAcentral